CAGUCGAACGAUGAAGUCCUAGCUUGCUAGGAUGGAUUAGUGGCGCACGGGUGAGUAAUAUAUAGUUAAUCUGCCCUACACAGAGGAACAACAGUUGGAAACGGCUGCUAAUACCUCAUACUCCUAUUUAACAUAAGUUAAAUAGGGAAAGUCUUUUCGGUGUAGGAUGAGACUAUAUCGUAUCAGCUAGUUGGUGAGGUAAUGGCUUACCAAGGCUAUGACGCGUAACUGGUCUGAGAGGAUGAUCAGUCACAUUGGAACUGAGACACGGUCCAAACUCCUACGGGAGGCAGCAGUAAGGAAUAUUGCGCAAUGGGGGAAACCCUGACGCAGCAACGCCGCGUGGAGGAUGACACUUUUCGGAGCGUAAACUCCUUUUAUCAGGAAAGAAUAAUGACGGUACCUGAUGAAUAAGCACCGGCUAACUCCGUGCCAGCAGCCGCGGUAAUACGGGGGGUGCAAGCGUUACUCGGAAUCACUGGGCGUAAAGGACGCGUAGGCGGAUUAUCAAGUCUUUUGUGAAAUCUAGUGGCUUAACCACUAAACUGCUUAGGAAACUGAUAGUCUAGAGUAGGGGAGAGGUAGAUGGAAUUCUUGGUGUAGGGGUAAAAUCCGUAGAGAUCAAGAAGAAUACCCAUUGCGAAAGCGAUCU
Molecule: ribosomal RNA, 652 nt
Filed under: uncultured bacterium
Lineage: Bacteria
Description: bacterial SSU rRNA
Rfam family: Bacterial small subunit ribosomal RNA
Source: RNAcentral